Long non-coding RNA from Oncorhynchus tshawytscha (Chinook salmon), 938 nucleotides. NCBI's taxonomy places the organism in Eukaryota, Metazoa, Chordata, Actinopteri, Salmoniformes, Salmonidae. The record is from Ensembl.
AGAGAGGGAGGUGAAGAGGGACACGGAGAGAGGGAGAGGGGGGUGAAGAGGGACACGGAGAGAGGGAGAGGGAGGUGAAGAGGGACAUGGAGAGAGGGAGGUGAAGAGGGACAUGGAGAGAGGGAGAGGGAGGUGAAGAGGGACAUGGAGAGAGGGAGAGGGAGGUGAAGAGGGACAUGGAGAGGGAGGGAGGUGAAGAGGGACAUGGAGAGGGAGGUGAAGAGGGACAUGGAGAGAGGGAGGUGAAGAGGGACAUGGAGAGAGGGAGGUGAAGAGGGACAUGGAGAGAGGGAGAGGGAGGUGAGGUGAAGAGGGACAUGGAGAGAGGGAGAGGGAGGUGAAGAGGGACAUGGAGAGGGAGGUGAAGAGGGACAUGGAGAGAGUGAGGUGAAGGGCCUAACUGUCUGUCCUGAGUCACUUACUGUUGUAGGGCCUAACUGUCUGUCCUGAGUCACUUACUGUUGUAGGGUCUAACUGUCUGUCCUGAGUCACAGACUGUUGUAGGGUCUAACUGUCUGUCCUGAGUCACAAACUGCUGUAGGGUCUAACUGUCUGUCCUGAGUCACAGACUGUUGUAGGGUCUAACUGUCUGUCCUGAGUCACAGACUGUUGUAGGGUCUAACUGUCUGUCCUGAGUCACAAACUGCUGUAGGGUCUAACUGUCUGUCCUGAGUCACAGACUGUUGUAGGGUCUAACUGUCUGUCCUGAGUCACAGACUGUUGUGACUCUUUUGCUGACCCUGUAAAACAACACAUUUCACAAAAAAAAAUAAAAAAUAAAACCCUAAAACCAAUUCUAACCCUAAAACGAAUUCUAACCCUAACCCUAAACACCCUGGAAAUAGCAUUUGACCUUGUGGGGACUAACAAAAUAUCCCCAAAUGUGUGUUUACUAUUCUGUAUUCUUUUGGUCCCCACAAGUAUAGUUAAGCAUGUCC